GUUUAGAAGCCACUUUUUGUUAAUUUAUUUAUUUUACAUUUAUUUAACUCCGUGUCUUUGGUGCUAGGUGAAAGAUGUAGGGGGCAACCGGAUUUUUUGCCUCAUAGUUGUCAUAUAUGUCAUUUUGCUGAUUCGGGGUUAAUUAUGCUGUUGCUGAUUUGUUGUAGAUAUCAUCUCCAGGGUUUCGUGUGCCGGUCGUACUAUUUCCAACCUUCUUUACAAUGAUGGUUUCUAGUGAUACUUCUGAGUAAGCAGUGUUUUAUGUAAGGCCCAGUGUGGCAAUGUGGGGUUAAGAAAUUUUGUUUGAUAAUAAAUUUCAAUUUCUGAGUGAAUUUAUUUUAGCUUCAUGUUAUUUUCUUUUCUCUUUUUGGGCAAGUGAUGUUAAUUUCUUUUUUCUCAACUCUGGUUUUGUUUGUGAUUUGCUUGUGUUGUGAAGCAUGUGGCUGUUAUUGGAGUCAGCAACGCCAGAAUGGUUAACAAGAUAUGUCUAGUAGUUCUUAUCCUGAUAAUGUCCACUUUAAACCUUUCUUCGCAGGUGUUGUAGGCAUGUGAUAGGUUUGUAAUUGGCUCAUAAGAUUUUCUAAUGGGUAAUUUUUGGUUUUGUUUGUUAUUUGGUAGUUGCUAGGGUUGGUAAAUGUUACUGGAGUACUAUUUGGUUUGUUUACCUUACAUACACCAUACCAUCUGGUAGUUUUGAUGGUUUAAUCCACUUGGUACCACUGUCAAGUUUUGAAAUCUUUAAUUCCAUAGUUUUGUACCUGUUCCUUCAUUUCCCUAGGCUAAUGUUCAUGUUUGUUUUGCGCUCUUGCAACAGGAAAUGUGUGUGCAGAUUUUGUUACGGUUAUUAGGUCCUACUGCUGUAACAGAUAGUCAUCUCGUUUUGCAAGAGCAAUAACACAUUUAUAAUUUCUCUCAAGAUUUGGUUAUAUUAUUUUGUCUGCUUUUAUUAUUUUAGGUUUUGGUUAUUGUAUUUGCUACUGAUGACUUGUAGUAAAUGAAUAAGCUGUGAUUAAAUCUAUUCUGACAACAGUAAAAUAUUUUAUGUAGUAAACAUCAGGGGGUAUUCUGAUCAUUUGCAUCUCUCAAUGACAUCAGAAUGGGUGUGCAUAAGUGCAUUUUGUUUUGUUUUCAGCACCGGGAUAAGCUAUCAUAUAUUGAAGCGAGUUAUAUAGAGAAUGAGUUUGAGUUUUUAUAAUACACUUAGGACUUGUAUACGCACUCUUUCCUACUUAUAGGAUUUCUGGUGGAAAGGAUUUCUUAAUUCUUAAAGUUGGGACUUUUAAGAGUUGAUAUCUCAACUUCGAGUCAUCCCUAUUGUUUCAGGUUCAUGAUUGUGCUUAAGGUUAGCAGCAAAGAUGGUUUUCCAUUACUUGUUCAUAUGACGGUGAUCUGUAGGCUGUAGCUGAUAUAAUUUUUUCUAUCAAAAAUACUAUGAGUGUUUGUAAUGUAUACUAUGUUUGUCUUCCUCCCCUUGCAUCAUAGGCUUAUUGCUGAAAUAUGAAGCUUAUAAAAUUUUUGGUGGUUCCAUAUCUAUAACCCUUUCAAAAGCCACAACAAGUGUUACUAUUCCAAAUUAAUAGUGUAAUGACGCUUUUACCCUUGUGUCUUUGUUAAAAUACUUUUAUCCCCCACUGUAUAGUGUGCUUCCGUUUAUACCCUCGAGCUAUUUUCAAUAUUCGAAAUUGCCUUUCAGGCUAGAUUUCAGUCCUGCUUUUUCCCCUUUUCAUGCUCCACCAUUCAAAUCUUCCAUUUGCUUUCUCUCUCCUUUGAACCCUUUCUCACUAUCACUCCAUCUCUCCUUUCUCACUUCAUUUUAUCUCUCUUUACUCUCCACUCUGCACUCCAUUUUUUCCAGUCUCUGUAGAGACUAAACCCAAAAACACAUACUUUCAGAAUAUUAGGGUUGGUUUCUUCUCCAUUGAAGCGUAUUCCAAGUUUUACAUUGAAGCUAAGUGUAGAAUGGGGGAUAGAAUUACUUCAAUUUCGCACUAAAGUCGAAUAUUCGAUUACCUCGCACUAAAGUCGAAUAUCAGACUAAAUAUGCUCCUCCUCAAGAGGUUUAUGCAAUUAUUUUGAUUUUUUCUUUGCUGCAAUCUCAGUAAUAUUGCUAUCAAUGGUUACUCUUUCUGUCGGCAACACCGUCCCUUUGAAUAGGAUGGGAAUGUCUCUUAUAUCAACAUAUGCAGCCCAGGGGACAAUUCUCGCGCCUAAUGAGUUUGUGUUACAAAGAGGCAACUGAGGAAGCUGAAUCCUCGAAGAGAAGCCAAUUCCAGCAAGGAUUUAAAUUUGGAGGACCCGAAAUCCCAGGAAUAUAUACUGGUAUGUACAAAAUUUCAGAAUUUUCUGUCAGAGUACUACCUUUAUAUUGUAUCUACAGUAUAAAUGUUGAUGAGGAAGAUGGCGAAGAUCUAUACAAUGUCGAUCUUCUCAAGUAAUUGUUUUCUCCCUUCUUUUAUUCAAUUACAUUUAAGGAGUGUUCAUGUUUCAUGCUGUAAAUGAUAAUUUUAUAAAGUGCUGUUAAUGAGUUGGUCAUAAUGUUUUUGGCCUGGCUCAAAGGGGGUUUUAGUUGAUGAUGAUGGGAUUAUUUAGAAAGAUUUUUUAAUGUGUUGAUCAUACUGUUUUUGACAUUGCUGAUAAGUAGGGAGAGAGUGAGAUAUGAGCCAGCUGUAGAGUGUCACCGUUCUGUAAUAUAGGUAAUCUAUGUGUAACUAUGUGUUAUCUAUAAACCUAAGAAUUUUGAAGGAAAUAUAUCUGCCGUUGCUUAGUACUAAAAAUUGCAAUCCGGAUUUCAAUACCAAAUUGAUAGAAUUUAGAGGCAUUAAAAAAAAUCUCGGUUCUCACCAUGUAGGGUUUUCCCCUCUUUGGUAACCCAUCACUUAACAUAGAAGCUAAGUAAUUGUAAAAGUUGAAACACAAAUGAUGGCAUCCUAUGCUUUGAUUACCACUGAUAAUUUUGAUAAAUCUGAUUAGUUUUAUCCGGUAAUGAAAGCUAUCAUUUGCACUUGUUCUGGUUGUUUCUUUAGGCUGUGCCAUAUAUGCUGAGUAUUUUAUCGGAAUAAUUAGAGAUGAGUUCUUUUAUCUCGCUUAGGUUCAUAAAUUGUCCUACACCGUUGAUUGCUUUUUCUACUCGUGGUUUGGACUGUUGUUUUAAUAUGCUUGGUUGCUGCUUUUGUAAGUCCCCAAUAAAUUAGAGGACAAAAUAAUUGAUGACAUAGUCUCUUAAUGCAGAGAGUUAGGGCAGUGGGUUACUCUCAGCCUAUCAAUAUCGGUGAAAUAUUUUCCGAAGGGUCUCUGAAUCCAUAUGCUGAUGGAGAUAAUCCUUAUGCAUUUAAUUAAAGGUCAGAUAAAUGUGUUCAAAUCAGAGGGGUGGAUUGGAAUAGCUAUGGAGAAUCGUAGCCUUCUGUUCACUCAAUAAAGAGGAAGGUCAAGUAAUUUGUCGACAGAUCCAACAUCUGUAGGUCAGGGGAUUGUUAAGGCUAAAUCUGAGAGAAGCUCACUGGAAAUGAAGAACUUUGAGAUGAUCUCGAGAAGAUACAAAUUCAAUUUUUUAGGAUUUGCAGGUAAGUAUUGCAUUGGAGUUUUCCUGUAUUCUGCUUUUCUUAUUAGCUUAUACAUACAUGGUUAAUAAUCAUGUUGGUCGAGGAUUUAAAGCCAGUGAAGGAUACCGACCAUACGAAUGUUGCUCGAUCUUAGAUGUGAAAUCAGAACCAAUUAAGCAAGAUGAGUUGUGAUGGGUGUAACAGAGGAUAGUGCUUUUUAUAAUUAAUCAAAGGUAGCUUUUAUUUCCACAAAGAAUAUGUUGUACAAGAUGCAGCCUUCAAUGAUGUAUACAAUUUUUAAAGGGUGAGCAAAUUAUUUAGGCAUGAGCAAACUAUACGGAGGUGAGCAAACUAUUUUAGGGUAAUGUAAUUUGAAUAUGAUUUUUAGAGUGAGAAAAUUCUUUGGGGGUGAACAAAUUAUUUAAGGGUAAUUUGUAUAUGAUUUUUAGAGGCAGGCAAACUAUAAUGACAUUUAGGGGGUGAGAAAACUACUUAAAGGUGUGUGUAUGAUUUCUAGGAUUUAAUAAAUUCUAUAAGGAUAAGUAAAUACUUUAGGGGUGAGUAAUUUUUAAAAACGUGAGGUAAUUUUAUACAAUAUUAAUAUACUUAUAGACAAUAUGAAUAAUAUUUCUAUACUUAAUUAUAAAAUGCUUAAUUAUUCUUACAUUUUUGACAAACAUCAAAUUAUAAUUAAUUAACAAAACAAUAACAAUUGUUUCUACUCCUUAACGAUAAAUACAACAAUAAGUAUUAUUACACAUUUACUUACGCUACUAUAUUACCGAUGCUUAAAUAUUAAUCUAUUGAACUAUCGCGCGCGAUGGCACAACUAGUGGAUAUAAAAAGGAUUGUAUGAU
Chenopodium quinoa (quinoa) is the source of this 4396-nucleotide long non-coding RNA. RefSeq lists it as uncharacterized. The transcript has 7 exons. The record is from RefSeq and is a predicted model, not a curated record. NCBI's taxonomy places the organism in Eukaryota, Viridiplantae, Streptophyta, Magnoliopsida, Caryophyllales, Amaranthaceae.